RNAcentral lists this ribosomal RNA (303 nucleotides) under Triticum aestivum (bread wheat). RNAcentral's name for it is "partial small subunit ribosomal RNA". Lineage: Eukaryota; Viridiplantae; Streptophyta; Magnoliopsida; Poales; Poaceae. The record is from RNAcentral.
AUGGGGGCGGGAAUGAGGCGCGCGAGGGAGAAGGAGGUAUUGUUGCUCGCGCUUUCGCUGAGCACGGACUCCUCGACGUCGUCUUCCACGACGUCGGCCGACUCGGCCAGUGCGCCGGCCAUGAAAAGGACGCGGCGGGGAAGAGUGGUGGCGACGUCGGGAGAAGGGGAGUUCGUGUGCAGGACGUGCGGCCGCGCCUUCACGACGUUCCAGGCGCUCGGGGGCCACCGGACCAGCCACCUCCGGGGGCGCCACGGGCUGGAGCUCGGCGUCGGUGUCGCCAGGGCCAUCAAGAAGCGGUAG